Molecule: long non-coding RNA, 289 nt
Filed under: Elaeis guineensis (African oil palm)
Lineage: Eukaryota; Viridiplantae; Streptophyta; Magnoliopsida; Arecales; Arecaceae
Description: long non-coding RNA (EGUI_LNC021420)
Source: RNAcentral
UAAAUAUGUACGAUAAGCUCAAGUUCAUUGCUCUUUCAUCCUUCUUGCUGUUGUUUUAUGAUUGGAAUGACAAUGGAUCUUGUACUUUUACAUCCAAUUGAUAGACACCUAUUCCAAUGCUCAUUAGGUUAUUGCUUAAAUGCUUAAUUUUGUUGUGGAACAUAUAGGGGAAGAAACCGAACUCCGGCAAAUCAUAGUUUCUCUACAAUGCUCCAAUCAAAAUCAUCUUUAUAUUGUACAAUGUGUAUGAUUUGGUAAGACAGCAUAUAUUUUUUUUUAAGAAAGAUGG